GACGAACGCUGGCGGCGUGCCUAAUACAUGCAAGUAGAACGCACAGUUUAUACCGUAGCUUGCUACACCAUACACUGUGAGUUGCGAACGGGUGAGUAACGCGUAGGUAACCUGCCUGGUAGCGGGGGAUAACUAUUGGAAACGAUAGCUAAUACCGCAUAAUAUUGAUUAUUGCAUGAUAAUUAAUUGAACGGUGCAAUUGCAUCACUACCAGAUGGACCUGCGUUGUAUUAGCUAGUAGGUGAGGUAACGGCUCACCUAGGCGACGAUACAUAGCCGACCUGAGAGGGUGAUCGGCCACACUGGGACUGAGACACGGCCCAGACUCCUACGGGAGGCAGCAGUAGGGAAUCUUCGGCAAUGGACGAAAGUCUGACCGAGCAACGCCGCGUGAGUGAAGAAGGUUUUCGGAUCGUAAAGCUCUGUUGUAAGAGAAGAACGGGUGUGAGAGUGGAAAGUUCACACUGUGACGGUAUCUUACCAGAAAGGGACGGCUAACUACGUG
RNAcentral lists this ribosomal RNA (505 nucleotides) under uncultured bacterium. RNAcentral describes it as "partial 16S ribosomal RNA". It matches the Rfam family "Bacterial small subunit ribosomal RNA", at positions 28 to 507 of the family's 1533-position model. The record is from RNAcentral.